GGCGGCGUGUCUGAUUCAUGCAAGUCGAAUGCGAAUGGGAGCAAUCCCUAGUAGCAUGGCGAAAGGGCGAAUAAUACGUGGGUAACCUACCCCCCAUGUUCGGGAUAACCCAGGGAAACUUGGGCUAAUACCGGAGAUAGAUGCUUGGGAUGCAUAUUUUGAGCAUCAAAGGCGGGGAUCCGCAAGGACCUGUCGCUUGGGGAGGGGCUCACGGCCUAUCAGCUAGUUGGCAGGGUAAUGGCCUACCAAGGCGAUGACGGGUAGCCGGCCUGAGAGGGUCAUCGGCCGCACUGGGACUGAGAUACUGCCCAGACUCCUACGGGAGGCAGCAGAGGAGAAUCAUUCGCAAUGGGCGAAAGCCUGACGGUGCGACGCCUCGUGAGGGAUGAAGGCCUUCGGGUUGUAAACCUCUGUCAGGAGUUAUGAAUGACCGGGAUUUUAAUACGAUCUCGGUGUGACAAAGGCUCCAAAGGAAGCCACGGCUAAUUACGUGCCAGCAGCCGCGGUAAUACGUAGGUGGCUAGCGUUACUUGGAAUCACUGGGCAUAAAGGGCGUGUAGGCGGAUGCGUAAGUCCGGUGUAAAAUCCCCCGGCUCAACCGGGGAAAGCCAUUGGAUACUGCGUGUCUUGAGUGCGGGAGGGGAGAGCGGAACUCUUGGUGGAGCGGUGAAAUGCGUAGAUAUCUAGAGGAACGCCGGUGGCGAAAGCGGCUCUUUGGCCCGUAACUGACGCUGAGGCGCGAAAGCUAGGGGAGCAAACGGGAUUAGAUACCCCGGUAGUCCUAGCCCUAAACGAUGAUUACUAGGUAGGGGCGGCUCCGAUGCUGUCUCUGCCGUAGCCAAUGUGUUAAGUAAUCCGCCUG
Molecule: ribosomal RNA, 862 nt
Filed under: uncultured bacterium
Lineage: Bacteria
Description: bacterial SSU rRNA
Rfam family: Bacterial small subunit ribosomal RNA
Source: RNAcentral